AGAGCGAACGCUGGCGGCAGGCUUAACACAUGCAAGUCGAGCGGGCGUAACAAUACGUCAGCGGCAGACGGGUGAGUAACGCGUGGGAACAUACCUUUUGGUUCGGAACAACACAGGGAAACUUGUGCUAAUACCGGAUAAGCCCUUACGGGGAAAGAUUUAUCGCCGAAAGAUUGGCCCGCGUCUGAUUAGCUAGUUGGUGAGGUAACGGCUCACCAAGGCGACGAUCAGUAGCUGGUCUGAGAGGAUGAUCAGCCACAUUGGGACUGAGACACGGCCCAAACUCCUACGGGAGGCAGCAGUGGGGAAUAUUGGACAAUGGGCGCAAGCCUGAUCCAGCCAUGCCGCGUGAGUGAUGAAGGCCCUAGGGUUGUAAAGCUCUUUUGUGCGGGAAGAUAAUGACGGUACCGCAAGAAUAAGCCCGGCUAACGUUCGCGCCAGCAGCCGC
RNAcentral lists this ribosomal RNA (448 nucleotides) under uncultured bacterium. RNAcentral describes it as "SSU rRNA". It matches the Rfam family "Bacterial small subunit ribosomal RNA", at positions 26 to 518 of the family's 1533-position model. The record is from RNAcentral.